GCCUCACUAAAAGAAGUUGUGUAAUAUUUUCCCUAAAUAUCACAAUGAAUCAAAUCAAAAAGAGUAAUGGAUUUUUUAUUACUCAAAGGGAAAUGAAAAUGGGUUUGUUUAGCAAGAGGGCAAACUUCACAUAUUCGAGCUUCAACAAAGGAUUUAGACUAGAAAUGUAUUUGGAAAAUAAUUUGAAAUGACUAAAACAAAGGUGUCCUAAACAUUGAUACCACAAGGUAGGAUUUGAAGAAGACGUGUCUUGAGAACAUCUAGGUGUAUUAGGAAAUGGCUUCACAACAAAGAGGCCACCAUUUAAUCUACCCGCUCCAAUUGUCUUCUUCAAGGACUGGUCCUAUAUAAGACAAGAAUCAACAUAAAAAAACAAUCAUACAAUUGGCAUCUUGGAUUAUUUUUGCAACAGAUAUAAGUUGACAUUAAACUUGGCACACAUAACAUAUUUUUUAAAACAGUAUUGAAAGUUAAAUAAAUGAUUCCAAUGUGAGUUAUGGAUUGUUUUGAACCAUUUGGUUAUUGAACACUUUUAGAGCAGUGUGAGGUGAUAAAAGAAAGUAAUGAAGGAGAAGACGCUAUGUGUUCAGUUGCACCAUAAUCAACAAUCCAAGAAAUGGAGUUUGGAAGGGAAAUGACAUUUAAAGCAAUACUUGAUAGAUUACUGUGGAAGGGUGUUACCUACAAAGUUUGAAUGAGAACUUAUUAAGGUUAAAAUUUGUUGGCAUUGCUCUAGAGUGAAGGGAAAAGCCUAAGGGAUGGACAUGAUAGCAAAAACUUGGUUGGUUGAUGCUUGAUUUGGAAGGGACUAAUUUUGUUGCUUUGGUCCUUUGUAGAGCUUGUGGCCCAGAGGGUACCCAUGUACCUUGUAACAUUUUUCUUUAACAUAUCCUUGCUUCCCAUGACAAUUACAACUUAGUUUUGAGUUGCCUGAGUCAUUUUGCUUCCUGGGUUUUCUUUAAUAGUUAUUUCUUUUCACAAUGAGCACAGUGUUGUCUCUUGACUAUGGUGGUGCCCCUGAGAUUCUCCAUUGCCUCUCUUCUUAUCAUGCCUAUAACAAUCAUCUUGAUGGAAUUCGAAUAGAGGAAAUGAAGGUUUAUAUAUUUAUUUCUAAAAUUUCACCUUUUUUUUUUUUACAUUUCUAUAUUAGUGAUAAUAUUGCUCAAGGUCUCUUGCAAACACAAUAAACCUUAGAAUAGAAUUGGAAUGAUAUGCAUAACAAUACAAAAAUGAGCCUUUUAUUUGAUUAAAAAAAAAGGUUAAUGAUGGAUUUUAAGCAAGGCAAACAAGUUGGUAUAUUUUAGGGGCAUUUAUAAUGACCUGCUCCGAAAGGAGUCUACUAGGAAAUAGUGAGCACACUCCCAAUUACAAUCUAAAGUAGAAUGUCGCAUCAACAAAUGAAUAUAGAGCAAGAAUAUAAUAAAAACUAAAUGAUUUUGAUACGGCAACAACUGGUAGAUAAAUUGCUAGUAGAAGCAAUGGUUGCAGGAUGCCACAUCGCAGAGCAUAACUAAAUUGGAACUAAAAAUACAUAAAGGAAAUGACACUACAUCUCCCAAAAGUUUUGGUAAGGAAAAACAUUGGAGCUAGGUUUCCAUCUAAUUACUCUCUAAAGAUGAUUCUCUCUCUUCAAUAGACACAUGACUUCACAUGAAAAAUAUCAAAAUCUAUGGGAUGAACACAAGGUAUAAUGAAUUGUUACAAUAUUCAAGCAUUAGGAUGGUAAGUCCACUUAAAACUAGUCAAAAACAUAUUAUAUAACAAUUUUGGUAUACAAAAACUACCAUAAUGUAAUAAUAAUAGAAUUUAAAGAUUAUAUGAGAUGUAAAAUAUGUACUGAAAAGUUUGAAAAUACUGUAGUUAAACCAUUGACUAUAAAUAAACCUACUAUCCAAGAAACAUGCACCAUAUCUAUAUGGUCUUCAAAGUCUCACUACCUCAAAUCACAAUACUAGGGAUGUCAUCUCCUACUUAUCCCAUUAGGCAUAAGAGAGCAUACUCUGCCACUUUAGACUCUACCCUCUAGCUUGACAUUAGAACUCAUAGCUGCAUGAAACCCCAGGUGCAUUUGUUAUCAUGACCAUUAAAUAUCAAUGUCCAAAAGUUUAACAAUUUAUUAAUAUCAUAACAAGAUAUGUAAUUUCAUUGAUUCUAAACAUACACAAGGUAUUCAAUAAUCGCUUGAAGAUAAAUUAGUAUUCAUUUUUGCAAACUUAGCAUAAUACAUAUGCAUUAACUAAAUAACAGUUCAACAUGUAUCUCAUUUUAUUAGUAAAACUAAACAAGUAAUAUAUAACAUAUGUAAAAAUAUUCAUUUUAUGAAAAAUUUAGUAAAAUUACAUAUGUUGUAUAACUACUAACAAAAAUCUUGGUAAAAAACUACAAUGGAAUUUGCAAUAUGAGCCUCCUUAAACUUUGGAUUCUUCUAGAACAAAUGAAAAGUUAAAUGAAUAAGAAAGAUUUUGAAAUUUAGUAAAAAUAGAAACAAAGGUUCUAAGGCCUUGCUAAUCUAAUUCGAUUCAAAUUACAUCUAAAAUUGAAAUCUAUAAAAUUUAUAAAAGUAACCAUCUAGGAAAUAAAGUUGAACUUGAAUGAAACUUGAGCUAAUGAGACACUAUACAAAUUUAGAUAAUUCAAAAUUUGAUAACUAGGUCAAAUUUGAUUCUAAAUUUACCCAAAAUAUAGAGUAUAUUCAAAUACUACUCAUUUCUUGGAUUUUCCACUCUAAUCAAACAAGUUCCAAAAGUUACUAAGCUCUCCAAAUAUACUUCAUGAUAAGCUUAUAAAAUCAUAAUUAAAAUAAUUUAUAAACUAGUAACAAAAUAAAAUAAUGCCAAAAUCCCCAGAAUCCAAAACUGUCUCAGCACAUACUACCGAAAAUCUAUUGAUAUUUACCAAACUCUUUUUCUAAAUUGACUAAGAAUCAAGUGAGAUUGAACUCGUUAGUCUCAUGUUUUAAGUUUACUAACAUAUAAAAAUAACAAGGGGUCAAGAUGCUUGAGUUAAAUAUCCAAGAAUUUUGAGAAAGACCAGUGGUUUAAAUCUGCCUUGGUUGAAUUUUGCACUAGGUUAUCAUCAUCCAAAUGAAAUGAAACUUAUGCUGUUAGAUUUCUUUGAGAGUAUUAUUUUGUAAGAAUAAGUCAGGGAUUGAAAAAUCGAGAGAUGUCGCCGAUAUUUCGGAGAAAUGUCGCCGAUAUUUCGGAGAAAUAUCGGAUAUCGGACGGGCGCCGAAACGAUAAUCGUCACCGAUUAUCGAUCGACGGAAAAAUCGACAAAAAAUCGGAAAAAUCGCCGAUAUAUCGGUGAAGCACCGAUUUAUCGGAGAAAAAUCGCGAGUGAAUCUGACGCGCGGAGCAACCGGAGGAGAAUUUUAAAAAAUCGUCGAAAAUAUCGCCGAUAUUUCGGUAUUUUUACCGAUUUUUCGGAAAAUUUCCCGAUAUUUUCCUACCAGUCCAGCCCGCGCACAGGAUACAAAAUCUGGCUCAAAAAUCGUGGAUUUAGGGUUCGUGAAAUUUAAAUACAAUGGCACAACAGCAAAGAAACCCUUAAAACAGAUCCAGAAAACACAGGGAGCAAAAGAAAAGCAAAUUUUUUGGUUUUCUUUGGGGGUUUUGAAUGGAUUUUCUCGGAAAUCAAACGAGAAUGAAUUUUCCCGGAAAUCAAAUGGGGGAUGGAUUUUCUUGGGAAUCAAACGGGGGUUGCAAAAAAAAUAAUAUCAACGUGAUUAGAUUAGUACCUGCGAGGAUUGAGAGUGGCAGAGGAAGAUAGGUUUUUUUAGGAACUCUCUCGGCUGGAGGGCAGCUUCAGAAAAGGGGAAAGGGGAAUUCUCUUGGCUGGAGGGC
Molecule: long non-coding RNA, 3842 nt
Filed under: Vitis vinifera (wine grape)
Lineage: Eukaryota; Viridiplantae; Streptophyta; Magnoliopsida; Vitales; Vitaceae
Description: long non-coding RNA (VVIN_LNC002920)
Source: RNAcentral